Molecule: long non-coding RNA, 370 nt
Filed under: Manacus vitellinus (golden-collared manakin)
Lineage: Eukaryota; Metazoa; Chordata; Aves; Passeriformes; Pipridae
Description: lncRNA (ENSMVIG00005014060.1)
Source: RNAcentral
AGAGAACCAGGAGAGUUGAGCUGAACUGAGGGUUCAGAGCUGCAGUCAGAACAUUUGCUGUCAGCAGUCAGGCCAUUCAACAGGGCUGCUAGAUUUUUAUGACAAGAGCAUGUAGAAGCCCUGGAUCAUUGUUCAGACAGGGAAGGUGACCAAUUUAUCAGGUCCUGAGGAUGUUGAAAGUGCAGGGAAACAUCUGAGAUUGGGUUUAUGUGGCCAACUGAAACCAAAGCACACCUUCCCCACGCUGAGGAACCUGCCUAUGCUUGGAAAGCAAGGGGACAGCAACACCCUCUGACUGCAAUUCAAGAGAACCCCAAAUAGGCACAAGACACUUGUUUUCAAUUAGUUAGGGUUAUCCUCCUGCUUUCUG